This 636-nucleotide ribosomal RNA is filed under the name uncultured Lachnospiraceae bacterium. RNAcentral's name for it is "bacterial SSU rRNA". It matches the Rfam family "Bacterial small subunit ribosomal RNA", at positions 65 to 706 of the family's 1533-position model. The record is from RNAcentral. Lineage: Bacteria; Bacillati; Bacillota; Clostridia; Lachnospirales; Lachnospiraceae.
AGCACUUUUGCGGAUUUCUUCGGAUUGAAGCAAUUGUGACUGAGCGGCGGACGGGUGAGUAACGCGUGGGUAACCUGCCUCAUACAGGGGGAUGACAGUUGGAAACGGCUGCUAAUACCGCAUAAGCGCACAGUACCGCAUGGUACCGUGUGAAAAACUCCGGUGGUAUGAGAUGGACCCGCGUCUGAUUAGCUAGUUGGUGGGGUAACGGCCUACCAAGGCGACGAUCAGUAGCCGACCUGAGAGGGUGACCGGCCACAUUGGGACUGAGACACGGCCCAAACUCCUACGGGAGGCAGCAGUGGGGAAUAUUGCACAAUGGGGGAAACCCUGAUGCAGCGACGCCGCGUGAGCGAUGAAGUAUUUCGGUAUGUAAAGCUCUAUCAGCAGGGAAGAAAAUGACGGUACCUGACUAAGAAGCCCCGGCUAACUACGUGCCAGCAGCCGCGGUAAUACGUAGGGGGCAAGCGUUAUCCGGAUUUACUGGGUGUAAAGGGAGCGUAGACGGCAUGGCAAGCCAGAUGUGAAAGCCCGGGGCUCAACCCCGGGACUGCAUUUGGAACUGUCAGGCUAGAGUGUCGGAGAGGAAAGCGGAAUUCCUAGUGUAGCGGUGAAAUGCGUAGAUAUUAGGAGGAA